Molecule: ribosomal RNA, 623 nt
Filed under: uncultured archaeon
Lineage: Archaea
Description: bacterial SSU rRNA
Rfam family: Archaeal small subunit ribosomal RNA
Source: RNAcentral
AUAAUACUCCAUAGAUUAGAGACACUGGAAUGUUCUUUAGUCGAAAGUUCUGGCGCCUUAGGAUGGAUCUGCGGUCGAUUAGGUUGUUGUUGGGGUAACGGCCCAACAAGCCUGUAAUCGAUACGGGUUGUGGGAGCAAGAGCCCGGAGAUGGAAUCUGAGACACGAUUCCAGGCCCUACGGGGCGCAGCAGGCGCGAAAACUUUACAAUGCAGGAAACUGUGAUAAGGGAACUCCGAGUGCCCGUAUACGCGGGCUGUCCAGGUGUUUAAAAAUCAUCUGAAGAAAGGGCCGGGCAAGACCGGUGCCAGCCGCCGCGGUAAUACCGGCGGCUCGAGUGGUGGCCACUAUUAUUGGGCUUAAAGCGUCCGUAGCUGGACCGAUAAGUCUCUUGGGAAAUCCGCCGGCUCAACCGGCGGGCGUCUAAGGGAUACUGUUAGUCUAGGGACCGGGAGAGGUGAGAGGUACUCCGGGGGUAGGAGUGAAAUCCUGUAAUCCCCGGGGGACCACCGAUGGCGAACGCAUCUCACCAGAACGGCUCCGACAGUGAGGGACGAAAGCUGGGGGAGCGAACCGGAUUAAAUACCCGGGUAGUCCCAUCCGUAAACUAUGCGCGUUAGGUGU